UACAGAGGUCUCAAGCGUUGUUCGGAUUCAUUGGGCGUAAAGGGCGCGUAGGCGGCUUUUUCAAGUGACGGGUGAAAUCCCUCGGCUUAACCGAGGAACUGCCUGCCAGACUGGAAGGCUUGAGACCGGGAGAGGUGAGUGGAAUUCCCAGUGUAGCGGUGAAAUGCGUAGAUAUUGGGAGGAACACCAGUGGCGAAGGCGGCUCACUGGACCGGAACUGACGCUGAGGCGCGAAAGCGUGGGGAGCAAACAGG
RNAcentral lists this ribosomal RNA (254 nucleotides) under uncultured bacterium. Its description in RNAcentral is "partial 16S ribosomal RNA". It matches the Rfam family "Bacterial small subunit ribosomal RNA", at positions 524 to 776 of the family's 1533-position model. The record is from RNAcentral.